This 21-nucleotide non-coding RNA is filed under the name Caenorhabditis elegans. Lineage: Eukaryota; Metazoa; Nematoda; Chromadorea; Rhabditida; Rhabditidae. The record is from RNAcentral.
UCUACCGUUUUUGUCACAGUC